This 253-nucleotide ribosomal RNA is filed under the name uncultured bacterium. Its description in RNAcentral is "partial 16S ribosomal RNA". It matches the Rfam family "Bacterial small subunit ribosomal RNA", at positions 524 to 776 of the family's 1533-position model. The record is from RNAcentral.
UACGGAGGAUCCAAGCGUUAUCCGGAUUUAUUGGGUUUAAAGGGUGCGUAGGCGGAUUGAUAAGUUAGAGGUGAAAUGUCCGAGCUUAACUCGGGAACUGCCUCUAAUACUGUUGAUCUAGAGAGUAGAUGCGGUAGGCGGAAUGUAUGGUGUAGCGGUGAAAUGCUUAGAGAUCAUACAGAACACCGAUUACGAAGGCAGCUUACCAAUCUAUAUCUGACGUUGAGGCACGAAAGCGUGGGGAGCAAACAGG